This is a non-coding RNA of Drosophila melanogaster (fruit fly), 707 nucleotides long. NCBI's taxonomy places the organism in Eukaryota, Metazoa, Arthropoda, Insecta, Diptera, Drosophilidae. The record is from Ensembl.
AUGUUUUAACAUCUAAUUACAUUUAAGCCCAUUGACACAAUUUCCAAAACCAUCUAAAUUCUUACCGUGUGACAAUGAUGAUGAGACUGGUAAUGGGAAUGCGAACGAGGAAUGGGCAUGACGACGAUGUGGAUGUGGAUAUGUGUGGACGAGGAUGCAGACGAAGAUGAGGAGGAUACUAGAUGCUAGAUGCGAAUCGAGGUGAUGAUGAUGGCGAUGAGUCAAGCCACGGCGGCGGCAAUAGAUAGUCACGGCCUGAGUACGAAAUCCGCAGAUAAUUAAGACAAUGCCACAUUGGCCGGCCGGCCAGACGGCACAGUGAGCAUCUCAGCCAGAAACCGAACAUUCGAACAACAUCGAGCAUCGACCACCGGCCACCGUAGAUAUAUCGUCGAGAUAACAGGGCUAAAAACAAAUACAAAAAGAAAAAAAAUCAAAAAAUUAAGCAAAAAACAAAACAAUGCCGAACCAGAACCAAAAUCAAAACUAGAAAAACGGGGACGGGACGAGAUGAAGGAGGUUGAGAAGGAGGCAGAGGAGUAGGAGGAGGAUGGCCCAAUCAACGAAAUCAGUGUGCGCAGACAGCGCAAAUUGUUGGCCAAUUAUUUAUGUAUUUUAAAUACUAGUUCGCUAAUCGGGCAUACGCGGCGUAUGCGCAACAUUCGAGUGCGAGUGCGAGUACGACAUGGCGUAUACGCAGUGUGGAC